UCCCUGGUGGCCCAGUGGUUAAGGCUCUGUGCUUCCACCGCAGAGGGUGCAGGUUCAGUCCCUGGCCAGGGUG
RNAcentral lists this transfer RNA (73 nucleotides) under Ovis aries (sheep). It matches the Rfam family "tRNA". Rfam says of the family: Transfer RNA (tRNA) molecules are approximately 80 nucleotides in length. Their secondary structure includes four short double-helical elements and three loops (D, anti-codon, and T loops). Further hydrogen bonds mediate the characteristic L-shaped molecular structure. tRNAs have two regions of fundamental functional importance: the anti-codon, which is responsible for specific mRNA codon recognition, and the 3' end, to which the tRNAs corresponding amino acid is attached (by aminoacyl-tRNA synthetases). tRNAs cope with the degeneracy of the genetic code in two manners: having more than one tRNA (with a specific anti-codon) for a particular amino acid; and 'wobble' base-pairing, i.e. permitting non-standard base-pairing at the 3rd anti-codon position. Lineage: Eukaryota; Metazoa; Chordata; Mammalia; Artiodactyla; Bovidae. The record is from Rfam by way of RNAcentral.